RNAcentral lists this long non-coding RNA (1232 nucleotides) under Phasianus colchicus (ring-necked pheasant). Its description in RNAcentral is "lncRNA (ENSPCLG00000016675.1)". The record is from RNAcentral. Lineage: Eukaryota; Metazoa; Chordata; Aves; Galliformes; Phasianidae.
UUUUGGGGUGAAAGAAGUGGGUUUUGGGGUUUUUCUGCCCGCACAAACCUUGAUGAUGGCGGUGGUGGCGUCGGUCUUCAGGGUGGGCUGGUGCCUCAUCAGCUCGUCCACUGCGCUGCCCAGGUUGGAGGCGGUGUCACCUGGGGGGGGGGCACACAAGGGGGGGACCCCAAAAAUCACAACCGAGUUUUGUGGGGAAUCAGCGGGGGGAGAGGUCCUCCAAGGCUGUGGAUUUGGGUUUUUUUCUUGUGAUUGGUUGGAAUUGUGAGGGAGAGGGACGCCCCCAAAAAGGGUCUGCAAGGGUGGGGGUCCUCCGUAAAGCAGGGGGUAGGGACACCCCCAAAAAUGAGCCCCGAAGUCGUGGGGGCACCCCAGAAUCCAAAGCAUAACUCAAUGGGGCACAAGGGCACCCCAAAAUCCAACCCUAACUCAAUGGGGGACAGGGGCACCCCAAAAUCCAUCCUGGAACUCAGUGGGGGUCAGGGGCACCCCAAAAUCCAACCCUAAAUUAAUGGGGCACAGGGGCACCCCAAAAUCCACCCUGUAACUCAAUGGAGGUCAGGGGCACCCCAAAACCCCAACCCUAACAUAAUGAGAGACAGAGGCACCCCAAAAUCCAUCCUGUAGCUCAGUGGGGGACAGGGACACCCCAAAAUCCCAACCCUAACUUAAUGGGGCACAGGGACACCCCAAAAUCCACCCUGUAACUCAGUGGGAGACAGGAGCACCCCAAAACCCCAACCCUAACUCAAUGGGGGACAGGGGCACCCCAAAAUCCAUGCCAUAGCUCGACAGAGGACACGGAUACCCUGGAUACCUCCUCAGAUUUGGGGACAGGAGGGGGCAGAGACCCCUGGGUUUGGAGACAGAGUUUGGGGAAGGCACCCACAGGAUUUGGGGACAGGAGGGGGCAGAGAUCCCCAGAUUUGGGGACGGGAGGGGGCAGAGACCCCCAGAUUUGGGGACGGGAGGGGGCAGAGAUCCCCAGAUUUGGGGACGGGAGGGGGCAGAGACCCCCGGGUGCGGGGCUGGGGGGCCCAGGGUGCUCACCCAGGGGGUCGGAGCUGCGGCGGCGGCGCAUGGCGGGCAGGUAGUCGGGGGACAGCAGCACCUUGAAGAGGCGCUCGAAGGGCUGGCACUGAACGAAGGACUGCAGGCCGCGGGCGUUGAGGCACAGAGCGCUGAAAACGUUGGGCAGGGAGCCCAGAACCUCCCGGGUGGCUGGGACCUGG